RNAcentral lists this ribosomal RNA (424 nucleotides) under uncultured bacterium. RNAcentral describes it as "bacterial SSU rRNA". It matches the Rfam family "Bacterial small subunit ribosomal RNA", at positions 355 to 772 of the family's 1533-position model. The record is from RNAcentral.
UGGGGAAUUUUGCACAAUGGGCGCAAGCCUGAUGCAGCAACGCCGCGUGUGUGAUGAAGGUCUUCGGAUUGUAAAGCACUUUCGACCGGGACGAAACCCGGAUGGUUAAUACCCAUCCGCUUGACGGUACCGGGAGAAGAAGCACCGGCUAACUCUGUGCCAGCAGCCGCGGUAAUACAGAGGGUGCAAGCGUUGUUCGGAAUUAUUGGGCGUAAAGCGCGUGUAGGCGGCGAGGCAAGUCGGGUGUGAAAGCCCUCAGCUCAACUGAGGAAGUGCGCCCGAAACUGCUUUGCUUGAGUGUCGGAGAGGGUCGCGGAAUUCCCCAAGUAGAGGUGAAAUUCGUAGAUAUGGGGAGGAACACCGGUGGCGAAGGCGGCGACCUGGACGACAACUGACGCUGAGACGCGAAAGCGUGGGGAGCAAA